Molecule: small RNA, 550 nt
Filed under: Pan troglodytes (chimpanzee)
Lineage: Eukaryota; Metazoa; Chordata; Mammalia; Primates; Hominidae
Description: retained intron
Source: RNAcentral
UUUGGCCAUGUAGUAACACUGCUUGGGGCAAGUCACUGAACUGUUUGAACACCUCAUCCUCAUUACCACUCCUGAGCUCAGCACCACUCCUCAGGGGGAGCUGCCUCCUAACAGACGCUGCAAAUGCCGGGUCUGUUUCUUCACAGGUUUGGGCCUGACACCCAGCACUUGGUCCUGAAUGAGAACUGUGCCUCAGUUCACAACCUUCGCAGCCACAAGAUUCAAACCCAGCUCAACCUCAUCCACCCGGACAUCUUCCCCCUGCUCACCAGUUUCCCCUGUAAGAAGGAGGGCCCCACCCUCAGUGUGCCCAUGGUUCAGGGUGAAUGCCUCCUCAAGUACCAGCUCCGUCCCAGGAGGGAGUGGCAGAGGGAUGCCAUUAUUACUUGCAAUCCUGAGGAAUUCAUAAUUGAGGCGCUGCAGCUUCCCAACUUCCAGCAGAGUGUGCAGGAGUACAGGAGGAGUGCGCAGGACGGCCCAGCCCCAGCAGAGAAAAGAAGUCAGUACCCAGAAAUCAUCUUCCUUGGAACAGGGUCUGCCAUCCCGAUGA